RNAcentral lists this ribosomal RNA (253 nucleotides) under uncultured bacterium. RNAcentral's name for it is "partial 16S ribosomal RNA". It matches the Rfam family "Bacterial small subunit ribosomal RNA", at positions 524 to 776 of the family's 1533-position model. The record is from RNAcentral.
UACGUAGGGUGCGAGCGUUAAUCGGAAUUACUGGGCGUAAAGUGUGCGCAGGCGGUUAUGUGAGACAGAGGUGAAAUCCCCGGGCUCAACCUGGGAACUGCCUUUGUGACUGCAUGACUAGAGUACGGCAGAGGGGGAUGGAAUUCCGCGUGUAGCAGUGAAAUGCGUAGAUAUGCGGAGGAACACCGAUGGCGAAGGCAAUCCCCUGGGCCUGUACUGACGAUCAUGCACGAAAGCGUGGGGAGCAAACAGG